Molecule: ribosomal RNA, 207 nt
Filed under: Cortinarius pinguis
Lineage: Eukaryota; Fungi; Basidiomycota; Agaricomycetes; Agaricales; Cortinariaceae
Description: partial 28S ribosomal RNA
Rfam family: Eukaryotic large subunit ribosomal RNA
Source: RNAcentral
UGUGACCUCAAAUCAGGUAGGACUACCCGCUGAACUUAAGCAUAUCAAUAAGCGGAGGAAAAGAAACUAACAAGGAUUCCCCUAGUAACUGCGAGUGAAGCGGGAAAAGCUCAAAUUUAAAAUCUGUCAGUCUUUGGCUGUCCGAGUUGUAAUCUAGAGAAGUGUUAUCCGCGCUGGACCGUGUACAAGUCUCCUGGAAUGGAGCGU